GCUGGGCAUGGUGGCGCAUGCCUGUAGUCCCAGCUACUCGGGAGGCUGAGGCAGUAGGAUUGCUUAAGCCCAGGAGUGUGAUGUUGCUGUGAGCUAGGCUGAUGCCACGGCACUCACUCUAGCCAGGGCAACAAAGCGACACUCUGUCUCAAAAAAAAAAAAAAAAAAAAAAAAAGAAAAGAAAUGAGAUCUCACUCUGUUGCCCAGGCUGGAGUGCUGUGGCAUCCUCGUAGCUCACCUUAGCUUCCAAUGCCUGGGUUUAAGUGAUCCUCCUGCCUU
Molecule: small RNA, 279 nt
Filed under: Prolemur simus (greater bamboo lemur)
Lineage: Eukaryota; Metazoa; Chordata; Mammalia; Primates; Lemuridae
Description: Metazoan signal recognition particle RNA (ENSPSMG00000005129.1)
Source: RNAcentral